AUGCUCGGGCUUCGGCACGUUGGUUUUUCUGACUCUGUGAUUGUCUUAAUUCCAGAAGUUGCGAAGCCAAAACACCUCAGCAGCUUUAGACCAAUAAGCCUAUGCAACGUCCUUUACAAGAUAGCUUCAAAAGUAUUGGCUAAUAGGCUGAAGAUUAUCUUGCCGGCAAUCAUCUCUGAGCAUCAAAGUGCUUUUGUUCCGGGAAGACUAAUCACCGACAAUGCCCUGAUUGCCUUCGAGCGUCUUCAUACAAUUCGACAACAAAGAUCGAAAAGACCAUACUUUGCCCUCAAGAUCGACAUGACUAAAGCAUAUGAUCGCGUGGAGUGGUCCUAUUUACAUGGAUGCCUUAGCAGAUUGGGUUUUGCGCCGGAGUGGAUUAGCACGGUGAUGAGAUGUGUGACCUCGGUUUGUUAUGAUGUCCGGGUCAACAGAGAGCUCACUAAUCUUGUAAUUCCUACAAGGGGUAUUCGACAGGGAGACCCAAUCAGCCCGUACCUGUUCCUUCUACGCACCGAAGGCUUGUCCAGUGUGCUUUUGCAUAAGGAGUCAUGUGAUGAGCUACAAGGUAUUCGAAAUGGUCGUCAAGGCCCUCCUAUUUCGCACCUCCUUUUUGCAGACGAUAGCAUCUUCUUUGCUAGAAGUGAUCAACGUAGUGUCCUCUCCUUGAAGGAAGCUUUGCAUUUAUAUUGUGAUGGUUCAGGCCAAAAAGUUAAUCUCCAAAAAUCAUCAAUCUUCUUUGGUACUCACUGCUCCGACGAUACUAAGCAAAAGGUAAUGGAAAUUUUGGGGGUCACAAAUGAAUCAUUCCAUGAUAAAUAUCUUGGAAUGCCUACUCAUGUGGGCAGGUCACCAACAAGGACAUUCAAAUUCCUAAAUGACAAAGUUUGGCAGCGCAUCAUUGGUUUGUUAGAUAGACCCCCUUCUCGAGCAGGAAAAGAAGUUUUGCUGAAAUUCGUGGUUCAGGCCAUUCCAACAUAUAUUAUGAGCUGUUUCCGAAUACCCAUUUCUACAUGUGAAGGGAUGAGACAAGCUGUUGCUGAUUAUUGGUGGGGUAGAGAAGAUGGUAAGAGGAAACUUCACUGGUGUUCACGGGAAUGGUUAUCCACACCAAAAAAGCUUGGUGGACUGGGUUUCCGUGAUUUUUUGCUCUUUAACCAAGCGAUGCUUGGUAGACAAUGUUGGAGCCUUCUUACUGAGCCAGAUUCUCUUUGUGAUCGGGUUCUCAAAGGACGCUAUUUUCCCCACUGUGAUUUUUGGGAUGCGCCUAAGCCGAGGUCAUCAUCCUAUACUUGGAGAAGUAUUCUCUAUGGCUGA
This 1317-nucleotide ribosomal RNA is filed under the name Triticum aestivum (bread wheat). Its description in RNAcentral is "partial small subunit ribosomal RNA". Lineage: Eukaryota; Viridiplantae; Streptophyta; Magnoliopsida; Poales; Poaceae. The record is from RNAcentral.